Long non-coding RNA from Rhipicephalus microplus (southern cattle tick), 133 nucleotides. Lineage: Eukaryota; Metazoa; Arthropoda; Arachnida; Ixodida; Ixodidae. The record is from RefSeq and is a predicted model, not a curated record.
ACGACGGGACGCUGCCGAGACCCGGGCCCAGGGUUUAAAAGCCCGGCGAAGAGCCCCAGCAGAGAGGCGCGCGAUGGCGUAAGCUGGACUGCCGUACUUCCAGGGAUGCUGAUAAACUAUAGGGACCAACAAA